Molecule: non-coding RNA, 104 nt
Organism: Coemansia sp. S85
Lineage: Eukaryota; Fungi; Kickxellomycota; Kickxellomycetes; Kickxellales; Kickxellaceae
Source: the annotation of a GenBank genome assembly
GUCGGUUUGGCCGAGUGGUUAAGGCGACAGACUAGAAUGGUGCAGUAAUGCCCAAAGCCAUCUGUUGGGGUUUCCCCGCACAGGUUCAAAUCCUGUAGCCGACG